UGCUUUUUUUUUUUUCAUCCUAAAAGCGCUCUAAAAAUUUCUAUCAAAAGUUUUCCUGCCCACCAAUUCUGAAAAGGCAAAAGAGAUACCCGCUGAAAUAUUUUACCCAAUUCCAAAUUUGCCACCACUAAAAUAUUUCGCCCAAUUCUAGAUUUCCCACCGCUGAAAUAUUUUGCCCCUUCCAAAAUUACCUCCGCUGCUUAUUCGUUGUUUCACCGCCAUCGUGACCCAAAUUCCUUUAAUAGAUUCUAUUUUGUCCUUAUUUCAAAUAAUGCCCUCGACUAGAGAACUUGCUCGGCUCCAUCUUUUUCUCCGGCGACUCAUUCGGCGAAAUCGAUUUGUAACUUGUAGAAUGCAAUAUUGGUUAACUUGUUCAGUGCUAGUCGUUGCGAUUUCCUCUUCCGUCACGGUUGGUUGCCAGUAAGGUGUUGGUUGUUCUCAUAAUUACAUUCUUUUUCUUAUUUUUUAAGAUAUCGGUUAGUCAUAGCUAGUCUUAUGUAUGCUAAUUUUGGUUUCUAUUGUUGUGGCUUUGCUGAUUCGGACAAUGUUAUUACCCUUCAGCCAAACACUUUGAGAUUUGUUCAUGUUGGUGUAUCAUUUAACAUUUUGUCUGCAAUAAGUCUCAAAUUUGAUUAUAGUAUUGCAAAGGUGAUGAAGAAGGCAGUAGUUGCUCAGCGACCCCAAGAGGCGCAAGGUUGAUGUGACUCGUGCACGGGUUGUGAUAAGCCAAAAUUUUUCACAUUCCUCUGGAUCAAUGUAUGGUCUGAUUCUUGAAAAGGUAUGGGGAGGCAAAACUACUAAAUAGAACAAAGAGAUUACAAUUAGGGAACUUAAGGCCCAGAAGCAUUCAGAAGUUUUUGCUGGUUUGAACAAGGAAAGCUCACCUGCUGCUUAGAUUAUUGGGGUGGUCAAGCUUAUGAAAAUGGAUCAGUUACAAAAUUAGGAGAUUGAUGUGUAGGGGGCUAAGGUCUAAGGGGAUCGCAAAUGGGAUUUCUAAUGUAUACUGGCUUCAGUAGUAUAACAUGUUUAAGGUGUUAUUCAUGAUAGAAUAUAUCUGAUUUUGUAAAGCUCAUCUCUAGUGGCGACCUUUGAAGUUUUUGCUUUAUUAGUUAAUGUAGUAAGUACAUGAUAUAUAUUUCUUUUCCGAAGUUCAUUGCAAGUGUAUUUGAAUC
This is a long non-coding RNA of Nicotiana attenuata, 1172 nucleotides long. RefSeq lists it as uncharacterized. The transcript has 4 exons. Lineage: Eukaryota; Viridiplantae; Streptophyta; Magnoliopsida; Solanales; Solanaceae. The record is from RefSeq and is a predicted model, not a curated record.